This 701-nucleotide ribosomal RNA is filed under the name Halomonas sp. RNAcentral describes it as "bacterial SSU rRNA". It matches the Rfam family "Bacterial small subunit ribosomal RNA", at positions 56 to 755 of the family's 1533-position model. Lineage: Bacteria; Pseudomonadati; Pseudomonadota; Gammaproteobacteria; Oceanospirillales; Halomonadaceae. The record is from RNAcentral.
UGCAGUCGAGCGGUAACAGGGGUAGCUUGCUACCCGCUGACGAGCGGCGGACGGGUGAGUAACGCAUAGGAAUUUACCCGGUAGUGGGGGAUAACCUGGGGAAACCCAGGCUAAUACCGCAUACGUCCUACGGGAGAAAGGGGGCUUUGGCUCCCGCUAUCGGAUGAGCCUAUGCCGGAUUAGCUGGUUGGUGAGGUAAUGGCUCACCAAGGCGACGAUCCGUAGCUGGUCUGAGAGGAUGAUCAGCCACAUCGGGACUGAGACACGGCCCGAACUCCUACGGGAGGCAGCAGUGGGGAAUAUUGGACAAUGGGGGCAACCCUGAUCCAGCCAUGCCGCGUGUGUGAAGAAGGCCCUCGGGUUGUAAAGCACUUUCAGCGAGGAAGAACGCCUGUCGGUUAAUACCCGGCAGGAAAGACAUCACUCGCAGAAGAAGCACCGGCUAACUCCGUGCCAGCAGCCGCGGUAAUACGGAGGGUGCAAGCGUUAAUCGGAAUUACUGGGCGUAAAGCGCGCGUAGGUGGCUUGAUAAGCCGGUUGUGAAAGCCCCGGGCUCAACCUGGGAACGGCAUCCGGAACUAUCAGGCUAGAGUGCAGGAGAGGAAGGUAGAAUUCCCGGUGUAGCGGUGAAAUGCGUAGAGAUCGGGAGGAAUACCAGUGGCGAAGGCGGCCUUCUGGACUGACACUGACACUGAGGUGCG